This 171-nucleotide non-coding RNA is filed under the name bovine gut metagenome. The record is from RNAcentral.
AGGUUCUGCCCCGCAAAAACGGGCGGCCAAGAGGGAAUCACGUGCAAAUCGUGAGCUGUCGCGCAACUGUAAAUCACAAUAAAAUUCCUACGGCGAUAUGCCAUUGGACAGAAACAAUGUCUGAGAAGGUACCGAAUGGGUAGUGAAAGCCAGGAUACCUGCCUUUUUGUU